This 164-nucleotide ribosomal RNA is filed under the name uncultured bacterium. RNAcentral describes it as "partial 16S ribosomal RNA". It matches the Rfam family "Bacterial small subunit ribosomal RNA", at positions 355 to 511 of the family's 1533-position model. The record is from RNAcentral.
UAGGGAAUCUUCCACAAUGGGCGCAAGCCUGAUGGAGCAACACCGCGUGAGUGAAGAAGGGUUUCGGCUCGUAAAGCUCUGUUGUUAAAGAAGAACACGUAUGAGAGUAACUGUUCAGGUAUUGACGGUAUUUAACCAGAAAGCCACGGCUAACUACGUACCAG